GAAAGGAAUGGCGACGGCUCUCGGACAUUGCCAUUCCUAUUGGUCAGGCCGUCAGCGCCUAGUCCUCGGGGCGAGGUUCCGCUUCGCCGACAUUGGCGCGGGCGGCGGUCAUGGGA
RNAcentral lists this small RNA (116 nucleotides) under Sinorhizobium meliloti 2011. Its description in RNAcentral is "putative ncRNA". Lineage: Bacteria; Pseudomonadati; Pseudomonadota; Alphaproteobacteria; Hyphomicrobiales; Rhizobiaceae. The record is from RNAcentral.